ACAACUGCUGGUCAUUUUCACUUACCAAGGUUAUAGAGAAUUUAUGAUUUGCGAACACCCAAAUUUUGCCAUUACAGUUGUUAAACAUUAACGAUAUCUAGAGUCUAUUUCUAUACCUGUUGAUGUGCCUGAAAUGUUGAAAAGGUUCUAAUAAUGCAAUAAAGGCAAAUUUAUGAAAUUUAUGCAACAUUUAGACUCUCUGAAAAACCUUUUGUGACUUAACAAAUCUUAUGUUUCGUAUAAAAGCCUUCAUCAUUUCUUCACAGAUUGAGUGCCCCUUCUCUUUGGUUGAGUUCUAACAGGUUGUGAACUCUCUUCAGUUCCUUGCUUUCUCCAUUUCCUAGCAAAUUUGACACUCUUAAUAGCUCUUGGAGAUAAAUCUGUAUCAUGAAAAAUUUGCUCUUCCAUCUGCUCAGAAGUUUUCUUUCCUGUUCCUGAUUCCAGCAAACCAUUAAAUUCCACCUCCUCCUGAAUAUUGUGGGUGAGGAUAUUAUGGAGCACAUCUUGAGGAUUUUCAAUAUCUCUCCAAUCCAUAUCUUCUACAACAGCUAGGGGAACAUCCACAAUAGCUAGCUUAUUAUCCUGUGUCAUUGCUAUUGUCUGCUGCCCUCUAUUUCCUUAACUCUUCACUUUGCACCUCAUCAUUAAUCACAUCCGACGCUUCAUGUUGAUGAUUACAUUGAUCACUUGACUGAUUCUCUGCAUUGUUAUUACUUAGAUCAAGGGUCAAAACUAUGUUGACUGUAGGUAAUCUAUGAUAAUUGAUUUGUUCUACUGCUUGUUGAUUUAGUACUAAUUUAUCCUCUGAUUUUCUUUGUCUUGCAGUGAUGUCUGACUUUUUUGGUGAUGAGGAUACUUGGUUCACUUUAUCUUCGGCUUUGAAUGAUCUAGAUAACCAGUCUUUGGUGGUUUCCUGUUUAUCAACCCCCUCCCCUUUCUCUAGUGUGAUCUUCUGUGUAAUAGGAAUAUUAUUAGCUAGUGAAUGCUCCUCUACUUCAUCUGUCAAUGCUGCGAAAGGAUCUUCAUUACCAAUCCCUUUGUGAGGUGUGAUUGUUUUUUCUCAAAGAUAACCCUUAUUUAUGAAUCUUCUCCUAGUAGGGUUCCGCUGGUGUCGCUGACGAUGCCUAUGGCAAUCAUAUGGUUGUUCCUGUUUAUUUGUUGGUGUUGCCUCCAUUUCACCAUUAGUUGGCUUACCUUUGUUUUCCUCCUUUUCUGGUAGUUCCUGUCUUAAUUCUGGGUGAAGAAUUCUACAUUCUUGCUUAUUGUGACCUUGUAGACUACAUUCUCCACAAUAUUUAGGAAGAUAAUCGUAUUUAAUUUUCACUUGUUCUACCCUUGAUUCCUUGGUUUGAGAAGUAAUAAUCUCCACUUCCACGUACUCCGGAAGAUCUGCCAACAAAUUCACUUGCACCUUAACCCUAGUGCAGUUAGGUCUAGUUUUAUUUAUAGUCGCCGAAUCCAAAUGCUUCGGUUUCCCUGCUGCCGAUGCUAAAGAGAAUAAAGCUUCUUUCACAAAGAAUGUUGGCUUUAGAUCAGGAAACGAAAUCCAUGCUAUAGCUUGUGUAGUUUCCUCUUCAAUCUUGAAUUUAGCAUCGUAUAUUAGAGGUCUCACCUGAUAAGAAUAUCCCUCCUCAUCAUUGAUAUAGUAAACUGCUUUUGACAUCACAUUGAUGAAGUCCUCUAUCAAGUUAAACCUCAUAAGAAUGUGCAUAUUCUUAAGGAAACCAAUUCGGCAAUCUCCCUUCAGAUUAAGCUGCUUAGGAAUUUGAAUAGAAGAUCCUUAAGUUAAGGCCAUCAAUAGGAGAAUUUCCUAAUUAUUGCAUCCACUUCUUCCUCAGUCCACAUAACUCUAGGAACCCCAUUGAUAAAAAUGGGCUUUUUAAUGGGGAUUGGCUCAAUAACUGGCUUAUUUAGAUUCUGCGAAGAAUUAAUGGUUUAAGGGUUUUAGAAGAUUAGCAUAUUUACCUAAAUGAGUGGGGGGUCCUUUAGUGGGUGAGGAUGCGCUAGGCAUUAUAGGCUCGUCAGGGGGUUUUUGUGGUAAUGGUGGAAAGUUGACAUUUGUAGUGGUAAGGGGUGAUAAGUCAGCCAUAGGAAUGAGUUGACCACUGGCCUAAAUGGCAAUUUUCGGUGAGAAAAGUUCCAAACAAAAGGCGGCUUCUUCUUGUUUUCUAUUAAUUAUGAGUUGAAUAUGGGGUCUUACAUUAUUCUCCCUUUGGAUCAUUCAUCACCGAAUAAGAAAGUCGGUCAUUCUUAGCACGAUAUUAGAAAGAACAUUGUAG
RNAcentral lists this long non-coding RNA (2279 nucleotides) under Capsicum annuum. RNAcentral's name for it is "long non-coding RNA (CANN_LNC011529)". Lineage: Eukaryota; Viridiplantae; Streptophyta; Magnoliopsida; Solanales; Solanaceae. The record is from RNAcentral.